UCUCCACAGGAAAAAAAGAGAGCCACAUGAUAUGAUGCUGGAUGUCUCUGACUCUCUUCAAGCAGGAACACACAGAACUGAUUUCUACAGACUCCUCUUAACCUUCUGUAGCCCUUAAAGCAUCCAGGAGUCAGGAAGCACAGCGCUGUCCCAUGUAAUGUCAGCCAGUUAAAGGGGGAAAAUGCCAGUGUAGUGCCUUCUAUGCAGCCUGGGAGUUCACAAGGUUUAUAAUUUGGCCUUAGCCUGCAGUCCCCAACAUGGCUUCUCUUCAGACAUGCAUCUUGGACUUCACAAAUGCUUUCAAUAAGGUGACAAGGGGCCUGCCCAGCUUGGUGCAGGUUUUUGUUGCUGAGUGCCCACCCAGCAGCAGGGCARCUCCAAACACAAGCACUUCAGCCCCUAAAACCCUCAGAGAGUGUCUGUGCAGCAAAGCAGGAUAGGAGGGUGAUGUCCUGCCUUCCUUUCAUCCWGUCUGGGCUUUGCAGGUUAAGGAGAAGCGGUGUCCCUGACUGUCAGUGAGCCAUCUCCUGCCAGYGCUAAUCAGCCCUGGAACAAAGGGAAAUGCACAGUGUGUUAAGACUUGCACAGGUAUCUGAUGCAAUCUGAAAGGGAGACAGACCUGCUGCAAUACCCAACAUGUCCAAAUGCACGUCCCACAACCCAUAUUCUUACUCUGGGGAGCUGCUGAUUGAAGUGGCUGUUCACCUCUACACCUCUACACCUCUACACCUCCAGGUCAUAAUCUAGCAAGUGAAGGACUCUAAUCGGACAUAUUUAAUAUACACACUUCUUACUUAAGGACAUCAAGAACAUUGAGUGGUGUUCCAGCAAAAGGGGACUUGUCCUGAAGUUUAAAGGUUGAACUUCAGCAGUGUGGGAAGAAGCUCUGCACCAUCAGGAUCCUUUGUCUUGCAGAAGUGCUCAUUCAGGCUUUCAGCACAAACAAGAACCAUGUCUUCAUUCUGAGUAUCAGCUGAG
This is a long non-coding RNA of Malurus melanocephalus (red-backed fairy wren), 978 nucleotides long. RefSeq lists it as uncharacterized. Lineage: Eukaryota; Metazoa; Chordata; Aves; Passeriformes; Maluridae. The record is from RefSeq and is a predicted model, not a curated record. The transcript is spliced from 4 exons.